GACGAACGCUGGCGGCAUGCUUAACACAUGCAAGUCGAGCGCAGCAUCGGAGCUUGCUCUGAUGGCUGAGUGGCAGACGGGUGAGUAACACGUGGGAACUUACCCUUUAGACUGGGACAACCACUGGAAACGGUGGCUAAUACCGGAUAAGCCCUGAGGGGGAAAGCAGCAAUGCGCUAAGGGAGAGGCCCGCGGCAGAUUAGGUAGUUGGUGGGGUAAAGGCCUACCAAGCCAAUGAUCUGUAGCUGGUUUGAGAGGAUGAUCAGCCACACUGGGCCGGGGACACGGCCCAGACUCCUACGGGAGGCAGCAGUGGGGAAUAUUGGACAAUGGGGGAAGCCCUGAUCCAGCAAUGCCGCGUGAAUGAAGAAGGCCUUAGGGUUGUAAAAUUCUUUUGUUCGUGACGAUAAUGACGGUAGCGGACGAAUAAGCCCUGGCUAACUCUGUGCCAGCCGCCGCCGUAA
RNAcentral lists this ribosomal RNA (464 nucleotides) under uncultured bacterium. RNAcentral's name for it is "partial 16S ribosomal RNA". It matches the Rfam family "Bacterial small subunit ribosomal RNA", at positions 28 to 523 of the family's 1533-position model. The record is from RNAcentral.